RNAcentral lists this ribosomal RNA (253 nucleotides) under uncultured bacterium. RNAcentral's name for it is "partial 16S ribosomal RNA". It matches the Rfam family "Bacterial small subunit ribosomal RNA", at positions 524 to 776 of the family's 1533-position model. The record is from RNAcentral.
UACGUAGGGGGCUAGCGUUGUCCGGAAUUAUUGGGCGUAAAGAGCGUGUAGGCGGUCCGGUAAGUCGGCUGUGAAAGUCCAGGGCUCAACCCUGGGAUGCCGGUCGAUACUGCCGGACUAGAGUUCGGAAGAGGCGAGUGGAAUUCCCGGUGUAGCGGUGUAAUGCGCAGAUAUCAGGAAGAACACCAACGGCGAAGGCAGCUCGCUGGGACGGUACUGACGCUGAGACGCGAAAGCGUGGGGAGCGAACAGG